AUGUUGCUGUUACUUUGUCCAGAUCUUUUAAAGAUUAUUUAAAGACCUUAUUUUAUUUGUCUUGCUCUUGUGUACUUUUAUGUCUGUUGUUUGAAACUUUGUGUUCAUCGACAUCACCAUAUCUCCCUCCAUUCUCUUUUCUUCUACAAUGAUCAGCGACCUCGAAAUUGAGAGUUCCAAUUUCAACACCCCCCUCAAGUUGGAGGGGAGAGAAGCAACCCCCAACUUGCCAAGUAGAUUGUGAUGCGGAGAACCAUAUAAAGGUUUUGUGAACAGAUCUGCCAGUUGACACGAUGAAGGGACAAACGAGAGUGAAAUUAAACCAGAGAGGAAUUGUUGCCUAACAAAAUGGCAAUCAAGUUCGACAUGUUUGGUCCUUUCAUGAAAUAUCGAAUUCCAUGCGAUAUCAAUCGAAGCUUGACUGUCGGAGUGAAUUGGAACUGGAAGAGAGGGAGGAGUACCCAGAUAUGAAAGUAAACGAGUCAACCAAGUGAUCUCUGCCAUGACUCGUCGCAUAGAACGAUACUCUGCUUAUGCGGAGGAAAGGGAUACAUAAGAUUAUUUUUUCGAUUUACAGGAAAUUGGAGAUCCGCAUAGUGUGAUGAAAUAUCCACUAAUUGAUCGGCGAGAGUCUGUGCAAGAUCCCCAAUCGGCAUCGCAGAAAGAUAAAAGAUCGAGUUUGGGAUUAGCAGAGAGAAAAAGUCCCUGACCUGGGUCUGAAUGGAGAUAACGAACAACUCUGAGUGCAGCUGUGAAAUGGGGAAUCCUGGGUUGCUGCAUGAAUUGGCUUAGGUGAUGUAUUGAAAAAGAUAAGUCUGGUCUGGUGUGAGUUAGAUAGUUUAUUUUCCCAAAAAUUCUCCGAUAUGUAGUCGGAUCCUUCAACAACUCACCCGAUUCUGCAUUCUAUUUGUAGGAAGGAUCUAGAGGCAAUGAUACCAGUGGCAUAUGAUCACAAUUGUACUUGGCCUGAAGAUCCAAGGGUCCUGUUGUCUGAUUUUCUCAGAUGGUGAAUCAGGAGGAGAUGAAUGAUUAAAAGUUAAAGGUGAAGAUUCAUAUGAGAUGGGAGAAUCCAAAUUCACAGUUUUUAAUGAGAAUCAGAGGUGAUCAUAUCUGAGAUCUGAUGGAUGACAAAUUCUUCAUCAACUGGAGAUCCUUGGCUGGAAAAGAAAGGUGAAGACAAAUUGUCAAGGGCUAUUAAGAUAGAUCUUCUCCAGCCUCCAUAACCUUUUCCGUUGAAGGAUAAGUUCACCAGGUUCAUCCCUGGUGAAUCUGAAGCAUGAAGAAAAAAAAGGUGACUGUGAUCUGGUCCAACAUCUGUUGUAUUGACAGUGCUUGAAGUUGUUCCAGAGGUGACCUCAGAUGUUCUAGUCAUCCUUUGAGUUUUAGAUGAAUGCUGUGCAAAUCAAUGAAGAAAAGAAUUAAUUAGAGAUUAGGAUCUCAAAGCUGCUUCUAAUACCAUGUAGGAAUUUAGAGAAUUUGGAGAAUUUUUCUUGUGUAUUCAUUUCUGGUGAAUAAUGUAUAUAUACAUGUAUCCUAAUAAAAUAAAAUAAAAAUGCUUAAAUACAGUAUUUA
Nicotiana tabacum (common tobacco) is the source of this 1572-nucleotide long non-coding RNA. RefSeq lists it as uncharacterized. Lineage: Eukaryota; Viridiplantae; Streptophyta; Magnoliopsida; Solanales; Solanaceae. The record is from RefSeq and is a predicted model, not a curated record.